CAGUAGUUUACUACAGAAAAUGACUGAGCGGCGAACGGGUGAGUAACGCGUGAGCAAUCUACCUUAGUUACUGGGAUAGCCCGAGGAAACUCGGAUUAAUACCGGAUAUUCUUAUUUUUUCACAUGAAGUUUUAAGGAAAGGUCAGCCGAACUAAGAUGAGCUCGCGUUCUAUCAGCUAGUUGGUGGGGUAAAAGCCUACCAAGGCUACGACGGAUAGCUGGUCUGAGAGGACGAUCAGCCACACUGGGACUGAGACACGGCCCAGACUCCUACGGGAGGCUGCAGCAGGGAAUAUUGCGCAAUGAGCGAAAGCUUGACGCAGCGACACCGCGUGUGGGAUGACGGUUCUAGGAUUGUAAACCACUUUCAGGAGGGAAGAAAAUGACGGUACCUCCACAAGAAGACCCGGCCAACUACGUGCCAGCAGCCGCGGUAAUACGUAGGGGUCAAGCGUUGUCCGGAUUUAUUGGGCGUAAAGAGCUCGUAGGCGGUUCAACAAGUCGGUCGUAAAAGUUUAGGGCUCAACCCUAAAAUGUCGAUCGAUACUGUUGUGACUAGGAUACGGUAGAGGUGAAUGGAAUUCCGAGUGUAGCGGUGAAAUGCGUAGAUAUUCGGAGGAACACCAAUUGCGAAGGCAGUUCACUGGACCGUGAUCGACGCUGAGGAGCGAAAGCUAGGGGAGCAAACAGGAUUAGAUACCCUGGUAGUCCUAGCUGUAAACGAUGGAUACUAGAUGUAGGAACUGGAUUGACGGUUUCUGUAUCGUAGCUAACGCGUUAAGUAUCCCGCCUGGGGAGUACGGUCGCAAGACUAAAACUCAAAGGAAUUGACGGGACCCCGCACAAGCGGCGGAGCAUGCGGCUUAAUUCGAUGAUACCCGUAGAACCUUACCUGGACUUGACAUAUAGGGAAAAACUAAAGAAAUUUAGUGUGCGUAAGCGCCCUAUACAGGUGGUGCAUGGCUGUCGUCAGCUCGUGUCGUGAGAUGUUGGGUUAAGUCCCGCAACGAGCGCAGCCCCUGU
RNAcentral lists this ribosomal RNA (1023 nucleotides) under uncultured marine bacterium. Its description in RNAcentral is "bacterial SSU rRNA". It matches the Rfam family "Bacterial small subunit ribosomal RNA", at positions 68 to 1108 of the family's 1533-position model. The record is from RNAcentral.